AAUUAUUCUUACCGGGCUCCUGUUACUUGUCGGCAGUUGACAUAAAGAAGGGAAUCAAAGAUUUUUUUAGUUCUGAAAUGAGGAAACAUCAGUAUAAAGAAUGGAAGCAGAGACAGUUCUCCAAGUUCAGUGAGAGGGAGUUAACUAACUGCUUUGAAAUAGGAACAGUCAACCAUAAAUUGGCUUCUUCAUUCCAUUGGAUUACAGCGUAAACAUCAUCCUACCAAUUCUUGUCCACAUUUACUUGCGGGAGAGCACUGAGCACUGCCUGUUUAACUAAAGAUGUUGCACAAAGUUCAUAUCUGUCUCAAGUAUUGCCAUUUUGAUUCCAAAGCAUUUGAUUCUAAAACAAGACAUAUCAAAUUAAUUCUACUAAAUGUGCAUUUGAUUAUAUGAUGAUGACCCAUUUAAUUUCAUUGGAUUACUUAAGUUCCUUUUGUGGUAUUCCAUAUUAUCAUCACGCAUCAUUUUAGUCACUUUUCUUUGGUGUUCCAACUUUCAACAUAUUAAAAGAAGUUACGAAACAGCAGUGAGUUCAUUUCGUUGUUUGUUCCAAAUACGAACCAAGG
Frankliniella occidentalis (western flower thrips) is the source of this 569-nucleotide long non-coding RNA. RefSeq lists it as uncharacterized. The record is from RefSeq and is a predicted model, not a curated record. Lineage: Eukaryota; Metazoa; Arthropoda; Insecta; Thysanoptera; Thripidae. The transcript is spliced from 5 exons.